GGUUCCGUGGUCUAGUUGGUUAUGACAUUUCGUUAACACCGAAAAGGUCCCCGGUUCGAGCCCGGGCGGAAUCA
This 74-nucleotide transfer RNA is filed under the name Trichoderma reesei QM6a. Its description in RNAcentral is "tRNA-Val (AAC) (tRNA-Val-AAC-1 1 to 5)". RNAcentral also lists the same sequence under 3 other names. Lineage: Eukaryota; Fungi; Ascomycota; Sordariomycetes; Hypocreales; Hypocreaceae. The record is from RNAcentral.